GUCUCUUAGAAAUUAUUAAGAGUCAGGCCUGCCCAGUGAUUGCUUUUUAACGGCCGCGGUACCCUGACCGUGCAAAGGUAGCAUAAUCAUUUGCCUUUUAAUUGAAGGCUAGUAUGAACGGUUUGACGAGAGUAAAGCUGUCUCACGUAUACUUAAUAAAAAUUAAUUUAAAGGUGCAAAAGCCUUUAUUUACCAAAAAGACGAGAAGACCCUGUUGAGCUUUAAUUCUAGUUAAGUACCAACUAUAUAUUAAUACAAUCUACUUACUUAACAAAAAUUUUAAUUGGGGCGAUUAAGGAACACCUAGAAGCUUCCUGAUUUAUCACUAAAAAUAUUCUAUAGAUUAAAUCGAUCCAGCAAUGCUGAUCAACAAAAUGAGUUACCACAGGGAUAACAGCAUAAUUCUUUUUGAGAGCUCAUAUCGAAAAAAGAGAUUGUGACCUCGAUGUUGGACUAGGGUAACCGGAAGGUGCAGCCGCUUUCCCGUUUGGUCUGUUCGACCAAUAAUUCCCU
This is a ribosomal RNA of 513 nucleotides. It matches the Rfam family "Bacterial large subunit ribosomal RNA", at positions 1828 to 2597 of the family's 2925-position model.